GUCCUGUUGAUGUUAAUUAUAGGUCUGACCUGCCCACUGAGGAGUUAAAUGGCCGCGGUAUAUUGACCGUGCAAAGGUAGCAUAAUCAUUAGUUUUUUAAUUGGAAGCUGGAAUGAAAGGUUUGAUGAGGAAAAUUCUGUCUCUGUGAAAAUUUAUUAGAAUUUUAUUUUUGAGUAAAAAAGCUCAAAUUUACGUAGAAGACGAGAAGACCCUAUAGAGUUUUAUAUUUAGUUAGAAAUCUAGGCUUGAGGGAAUGUAUACUUAGUUUCUAGUAAAGUAUUUAGUUGGGGUGACGGAAAAAUUAAUUAAACUUUUUUUGCAUUUAAACAUUAAUUUAUGGGUGAAUGAUCCUAAUAUAUUUAGAUUAUAAGAUUAAAUUACCUUAGGGAUAACAGCGUAAUUUUUUUUAGAGCUCUUAUCGAAAAAAAAGAUUGCGACCUCGAUGUUGGAUUAAAAUAAAUUAUUGGUGUAGAAGCUAAUAUAUUAGGUCUGUUCGACCUUUAAAAUUUUACAUGAUCUGAGUUUAAACCGGCGUGAG
Molecule: ribosomal RNA, 538 nt
Filed under: Trigonopterus sp. 920 AR-2022a
Lineage: Eukaryota; Metazoa; Arthropoda; Insecta; Coleoptera; Curculionidae
Description: partial large subunit ribosomal RNA
Rfam family: Bacterial large subunit ribosomal RNA
Source: RNAcentral